CGGGAGGCAGCAGUGGGGAAUAUUGCACAAUGGGCGCAAGCCUGAUGCAGCCAUGCCGCGUGUAUGAAGAAGGCCUUCGGGUUGUAAAGUACUUUCAGCGAGGAGGAAGGUGUUGAGGUUAAUAACCUCAGCAAUUGACGUUACUCGCAGAAGAAGCACCGGCUAACUCCGUGCCAGCAGCCGCGGUAAUACGGAGGGUGCAAGCGUUAAUCGGAAUUACUGGGCGUAAAGCGCACGCAGGCGGUCUGUCAAGUCGGAUG
RNAcentral lists this ribosomal RNA (260 nucleotides) under Citrobacter freundii. Its description in RNAcentral is "partial 16S ribosomal RNA". It matches the Rfam family "Bacterial small subunit ribosomal RNA", at positions 342 to 594 of the family's 1533-position model. Lineage: Bacteria; Pseudomonadati; Pseudomonadota; Gammaproteobacteria; Enterobacterales; Enterobacteriaceae. The record is from RNAcentral.